Molecule: long non-coding RNA, 2130 nt
Organism: Salvia miltiorrhiza (redroot sage)
Lineage: Eukaryota; Viridiplantae; Streptophyta; Magnoliopsida; Lamiales; Lamiaceae
Exons: 4
Source: RefSeq, a predicted model, not a curated record
UCUCUCCUACAUGGCACCCUCUCAAACCAGCAUUUUGAUUUAUCUAAUCCUGUAUUUUGCAUUAUGUAUUUUUAUAUACGUUUCAAUUCUCAAGCUCUGCAAAAAAACCAAUUCUCAUACUCAGUCAACCGUUACAAAUUAGAGCGCAAUUUAUCUGCAAAUACUUCUAAAAUUUCUCUCAAUCCCUCUGCAAAUUUCAUGGUCAAUCACUGUUACAAAACUAAAUUAGCAAUUGAUCAACAAAUCUGCUCAAAUCCCUUUCCAUCCGUCUGCAGUCACCAUUCUCGAAUCCCAUCUUCCGAUCAUUCUCAAAUCUCUCUCCAUCCGUCUACAAAUCGUUCUCAAAUCUCAUCUCCCCCGUCUGCAAAUCCUUGUCACGUCAAUUCCCUCUCCCGCUGUCUGCAAAUACUUAUCAUAGCAGUUGAUUUGCUAAUCUCUAUCUAUCGGGUCCCGCGCCGCCGAUACAUCAAAAUUGGAAAUCAGGAUUUGGUGCUCCAUCUCCCCCGCCUGAUUUCGGACUAUUUUUUAAGGCCCUUACUUAUGCAUAACGACUCUUUGGAUUUCAUCAAGUUAAAAUUGCCUUGAUUGGCAUCCAUGCUGGAAGCACUGGUCUUAACUUAAUGUCAGCAUAAUUGAAAGUCAAAGUGCGUCUUAAUCUUCAUGGUAUUGUAUCUGUUGAAUCAGCAACGGCUUUCUCCUGGAAUUGAUGCACUGGUGAAGAAGUUGCAUGAAAAGAACAAGGCUGUCUAUCUGGUCUCUGGAGGUUUUCGUCAAAUGAUAAACCCCGUCGCUACACUCCUUGGGAUACCACUCGAGAACAUAUAUGCCAAUCAACUUCAAUUUGGAAGCUCUGGUGAAUUCUCGGGGUUUGAUCCUAAUGAGCCGACUUCAAGAAGUGGAGGGAACUUCAAGAAGUGGAGGGAAGGCCGUUGCUGUUCAGCAGAUUAGGAAGGUCAGGCUAUAAUCAUACAUUUCUUGGUUUCAAUACGUUUUUCUUCUUUCUUCAACCCUCGUCAAAACUCUUCUAUUUUCAGGCUAAAGGUUUCAAAUCUUUAGUCAUGAUUGGAGACGGCGCAACUGAUCUUGAGGUGAGAAAUAUUAUAUUUCUUCAUCACACUUCUUUAUUUGCUUAAAGUUCUCCGAAUAAUAACUUUAUCUGAGAAUGGCUUGGCUCUUUGCUCGCUCUGCUGCUCUUGAGGUUUGCUAUUUGACUAUAUUUGGAAACGCUCGUGUGCUUGUGUGUUGUUCUUUUUCAUGUGAUGAAUCAUAACUCAAUGCUUAUGAGAUGAGAUUUUCUCGGCUGUGUAUAUAUUAGUUAUAAAUUUAGGUGGAUAUAUCAUAUAUGGGUUAUUCGCCUCUUUGUUAUUGCUGUCGUCGUCGUUGUUAUGGUGGGUCGGCCGUGCUGAUUGACGUGGGGUUGAUAUGUGGAACAUCCUCUGUUAAGUUGAUUUUCAAUGUGGUUUUGAGUAGUGAAAAUAUCAUUUAAGAAUAUACAUCUAUCUCAUUUACGACGAACUCACGUUGCAGCUAUAGAACAUAUAUAUAUAACAGGCAGCUAGGAAGGGGCCACCUACAGGUACACUUCGAUGAAGGCCGCCGAGAAUAUGAGGCCGUACUCCCGCUUGCAGACGGCACGGCUCUGAAGAAGGCUGGCGGCGCCAGACAAGCCACGAUGCGAUCCAUCAGAUUCUGCAGUCCAUCCAAGGAUUUGGGUUUGGAUUUUUGGUGCAGAGUAAUGUUCCUAGGUAUGCUUAUGGGAGUGUGCUAAUAAUAAAAUUUCGAAUUUAGUAUGUUCUAACAAUUGAAUAACUUAGAACAGCAGUAACGUGGAACAUAGUUUCAGAAGCAAAAAGAUGAUCAAAAAUAAGUUUCGACACUCGGAGUAUUUAAUUUAGCAAAAAGAUGCUUAUGGGAGUGUGGAAAGGCUCCAUGUUUGGAGUUACAAAUUUAAGGAUUUUUGGAAGUCGCAUACAAGGGGAAGAAGCAGAAGAUAGUUUCUGACGAUGAUUGUUUUUGUAUACUGCACGCAUAGAUGUGAGCUGCUUAUGUAAUUUAAAGUUUUAAAAACUGUAAUUAGAUUUCAAUAUUUGCAAACCUAAAUAAAAGGAUUGAAAUAAAUAUUUUCUUCAA